This 451-nucleotide ribosomal RNA is filed under the name uncultured bacterium. RNAcentral describes it as "bacterial SSU rRNA". It matches the Rfam family "Bacterial small subunit ribosomal RNA", at positions 354 to 796 of the family's 1533-position model. The record is from RNAcentral.
GUGGGGAAUUUUGCGCAAUGGGCGAAAGCCUGACGCAGCGACGCCGCGUGAGGGAAGAAGGUUCUCGGAUCGUAAACCUCUGUCGGAGGGGAAGAAACCCCAGGGUGCUAAUACCAUCCUGGAUUGACGGUACCCUCUGAGGAAGCAUCGGCUAACUACGUGCCAGCAGCCGCGGUAAUACGUAGGAUGCAAGCGUUGUUCGGAAUUAUUGGGUGUAAAGGGCGCGUAGGCGGCUUGGCCAGUCACGGGUGAAAGCCCCCGGCUUAACCGGGGAAUUGCCCGUGAUACUACCAAGCUCGAGUACGGGAGAGGGAAGUGGAAUUCCUGGUGUAGCGGUGAAAUGCGUAGAUAUCAGGAGGAACACCGGUGGCGAAGGCGGCUUCCUGGACCGAUACUGACGCUGAGGCGCGAAAGCGUGGGUAGCAAACAGGAUUAGAAACCCUGGUAGUCC